ACCUGCAGAAGCCAGGCCAGUCUCCACAGCUCCUCAUCUACUUGGUUUCCAACCGAUUUUCUGGAGUCCCAGACAGGUUCAGUGGCAGUGGGUCAGGCACAGAUUUCACACUCAAGAUCAGCAAAGUGGAGCCUGAGGAUUUGGGAGUUUAUUACUGUAUGCAAGCUACACAUCUUCCGCUCACGUUCGGCGGCGGGACCAAGCUGGAGCUGAAACGGGCUGAUGCUAAGCCAACUGUGUCCAUCUUCCCACCAUCCAAGGAGGAGUUACAGGCUGGAAGUGCCUCAGUCGUGUGUUUCCUGAACAACUUCUACCCCAAAGACAUCGACGUCAAGUGGAAGGUAGAUAACAAUGAACGACAAAGUGGAGUCCUGAAGAGUCUGACAGAUCAGGACAGCAAAGACAGCACCUACAGCCUGAGCAGCACCCUCACGCUGACCAAACAGGAAUAUGAAAGCCAUUCUGUCUACACCUGUGAGGCCACGCAUAAGACGUCAGCUACACCCAUCAGCAAGAGCCUCAACAGGAAUGAGUGUUAGAGCGAAGGGUCCUGAGGUGCCACCACCU
Acomys russatus (golden spiny mouse) is the source of this 567-nucleotide non-coding RNA. Lineage: Eukaryota; Metazoa; Chordata; Mammalia; Rodentia; Muridae. The record is from the annotation of a RefSeq genome assembly.